AGUGAACGCUGGCGGUAGGCCUAACACAUGCAAGUCGAACGGCAGCACAGUAAGAGCUUGCUCUUACGGGUGGCGAGUGGCGGACGGGUGAGGAAUACAUCGGAAUCUACUUUUUCGUGGGGAUAACGUAGGGAAACUUACGCUAAUACCGCAUACGACCUACGGGUGAAAGCAGGGGAUCUUCGGGCCUUGCGCGAUUGAAUGAGCCGAUGUCGGAUUAGCUAGUUGGCGGGGUAAAGGCCCACCAAGGCGACGAUCCGUAGCUGGUCUGAGAGGAUGAUCAGCCACACUGGAACUGAGACACGGUCCAGACUCCUAAGGGAGGCAGCAGUGGGGAAUAUUGGACAAUGGGCGCAAGCCUGAUCCAGCCAUACCGCGUGGGUGAAGAAGGCCUUCGGGUUGUAAAGCCCUUUUGUUGGGAAAGAAAAGCAGCAGGUUAAUACCCCGCUGUUCUGACGGUACCCAAAGAAUAAGCACCGGCUAACUUCGUG
Molecule: ribosomal RNA, 491 nt
Filed under: uncultured bacterium
Lineage: Bacteria
Description: partial 16S ribosomal RNA
Rfam family: Bacterial small subunit ribosomal RNA
Source: RNAcentral